Molecule: ribosomal RNA, 315 nt
Filed under: uncultured eukaryote
Lineage: Eukaryota
Description: partial 18S ribosomal RNA
Rfam family: Eukaryotic small subunit ribosomal RNA
Source: RNAcentral
CCCUUAGAUGUCCGGGGCCGCACGCGCGCUACACUGACCAGUGCAACAAGCAUCCGUCCUUGGCCGACAGGCUCGGGCAAUCUUUGAACGCUGGUCGUGAUGGGGAUAGACUUUUGCAAUUUUUGGUCUUCAACGAGGAAUUCCUAGUAAACGCAAGUCAUCAACUUGCAUUGAUUACGUCCCUGCCCUUUGUACACACCGCCCGUCGCACCUACCGAUUGAAUGGUCCGGUGAAGCCUCCGGAUUGGCGCGCACCUCGGUGCCGCCGAGAAGUUGGCUAAACCUUACCAUUUAGAGGAAGGUGAAGUCGUAACA